RNA transcript from Zingiber officinale, 1506 nucleotides. RefSeq lists it as uncharacterized. NCBI's taxonomy places the organism in Eukaryota, Viridiplantae, Streptophyta, Magnoliopsida, Zingiberales, Zingiberaceae. The record is from RefSeq and is a predicted model, not a curated record. The transcript has 3 exons.
AAGUCUGCCGUCUGCAAGCCCUCGGCCGUUUGGCUGAGAAAUGACCAAGAAAUUGACGUCUAGUGUCCUUUCUCUCUCCGUCUCUCUCCCUCCUCCUGUCUUUCUUUUCUCGCAUCUCCACCAACUCCACCUCAAAAAGGUGCAUUUCGCUCUCUUCUCCUCCUCUUCUCUUCCGCCAGCUCGCUCGGCUUACGCCGGAGGAACUCUGCUUCCCUUCCCUGCACUGCCCGUUUGAGUUGGAGAAAGAAGUGAGAAAGGAAAGAACGGAAAUGGCCUCUUUCUUCCUCUAUUUCUUUGUCUCCCUCCUCUCCGGAGUCGCGUCGCAGGCCGCAAGCCCUGAGCUUCGUCCCCUCAGCUCCGAUGGCUUCGACCCCACCACCGUCCCUUCCUUCCCCGUCGCACGGGGCGUCAACCAGAGCUCGGCCUGCCACCUGGACCUCUCCGACGAGCUCUUCGGCGGGGUCAGCGACGCCUGUGCCCGCGGCACCCUCGACCGGAGCCGAUGCUGCCCCGUGCUCGCCGCCUGGCUCUUCGCCGCGCACGCUCGCUACGCGCUCGAGCUCCGGCCGCCGCCGCAGGCCGAGGAGGGCCUCGCUGCCGCCGACGGGCCGAUGAUGCCGGACGACAACCAGAAGUGCGUGGACACGCUGCACAGCGCGCUGGAGCGGCGCGGUAUCCGCCUGCCGCGGGCCAACGCCACCUGCGACACCGUGCUCUGCUUCUGCGGCAUCCGGCUCCACCAGGUUGGGUCGCUUCGGUGCCCGGCAGCCUUUAACGUCAGUGGCGGAAAGGAUCCUUCGCGGAACGCCACGCCGACGGCGGCGGUCCGUCAGCUGGAGCGCGACUGCCUCAACUCGUCGUACGCCGGCUGCACUCGAUGCUUGCACUCUCUCGAAAAGGUCAAGGGAAACGGCGGCGGGGUAAACAGCAGCGUAAGCGGAAACCGGACGGCGAGAAUGUUCGGCCGCGACUGCCAACUAAUGGGCCUGACGUGGCUGCUGGACUGACUUACGGGCUCAUCCUUUGGGGCUCGAUUAGGGGGGUAUCCCACAGGAUUCAUUGUUGUAUCAGCAGGUGGUCUAUAAGCGGACUCCGCCUGAGAAUAAAUCUGUUCCUGCAGCUGCUUUAAUUUAGGAUAGUCAGAAACCCAAUCAUUAAUUUGACUGGUACCUGGAUGUUUUUCUGAAAGAUUUUCUUCUUCUUCAGUGCCAGCUGUGCCAGCUGCUACUAUUUCCCCACCACCUUCCCAUCAUCUUCAUCUUCAUCAUCCCAUGUUGAUCGUGUUGGUGGAAUAAAGGGGGCAGAUGGUGGUGCAGCAUAAUUGACAUAAAAGUUAUACUUGCCACUGGGUUCGCCAAGGGUAUCCCAUCUAGGAUUUGUAUCUGGCUGUCCUAGGGGUUCCCAUCUACUAUUUGUAGUUUCUUCAUUAGAGAAGACACAUAGGAAUUGUGUUGAGGAAGAUGCUUUUGUUGAAGAGGUGUUUUUAGAAGCCUUUAUUGAAUUUAA